CGUAUUCUUUUUAAAAUUUUGAGACAGGGGAGGCGUAGGACGCGGCAGUCUCAGCGGAGGCAGAAGCGCGCCGGCGGGCGUGGAGCCCACGGGUCCUGGGGUACCGGGUUCCCCUGACGCCCCGCCCGCAAGCUCUGCUGCGCGGGAUGAGCCCCGCUGGAGCCGCCGGCGCCUGGAAUGAACAGACCAUCUGACAGAGAGAGUUGCUCUGAUGGUUUAGGGGGGUGAGGAUGCCAAGAAGAAGCGGGCGUUGGCCGGGGCUCCUCAGAGUUCAGCAUAGUCCGGUUCCAGAGUGGUGAGCGAGAAGAGCCAGGACCGUCAGGUCGUCGUGAUAAAUUUUCCUGAAGGGUUGACAUCCAGUCAAGCUACACAGACCGUGCACCAGGGCAAGAUGCCAAACACGUGUAUGGCCUCCUCGUUGACAGCAAGGACGAUGCAGGGAUGGCUGCAACUGCCACAAUGCAAACCUUACAAGUGCUGAAUCCACAGACCAGGGCCAUUGCCUGAGAAAUUUCCACAGACGGUAGCUGAAAGGAGGCGAGAGAGAAAAGUUUUUCACUGAUGGCCACUCGACCUGAGAAACAAGAGGGCAGGUCUCACAGAGUAACCAUGGCAGUACUGCCUUGUCCCACCUCCUGCUUCUCUCUCCAGCAGGACGCAGAGUAGGACAUCCUGGGGUCGGGAGACAGCGGAUCGGGAAUGGAGGCAGAACCCCAGGAAGGCAUUCUCCAAAUCCACCCCAUCCUGCUGCCAGGAUGUGAUGCCUCACAACAGGCCCAAAAGCAAUGGGAACAAUCAACCAUGGACUGAACCUCCAAAACUGUGAUCUAAAAUAAGCCUUUCUCUUUGUUCCUGGAAUUUGAUCUCUAUCAGUUGCUGUCAUGUGCACCAAAGUAUGCUGCCCAGCACCCGUAGACUGCUCUCAGAAACUUCCAGCAUCAGCAUCCUGCCAGAGAGCAGCAGGAGAGACAGCAGGAGGACCUCUUGUCUUGCACCUUCACCACCAAUGUAAGCUAGGCACAGCAGGGUGGGCGGGCACUUGACACUGCUUCCGGCUGAGCUCAGGUUGCUGAGUUUCCUCUUCUUAGGGGUGUGUGUAUGUGGCAGACCGAUGAGACCUACUAGAAAUGAAAGGGGACUCUGUGCAUUGCCACUGAGACUAGACCUAGACAAGGAGUUUCUUUUUCCAUUGCAAAAAUCCAAACCCAAACAGGAAGCAGUUACACUGAGGGAAAGGGCAGAGGUGACAAUAAUCUGGCUCGACUGUCUGAUGCAGAGAAGUGGAAGUUCACAUGGAGGAAAUGUUUUGUGUUCACAGAAAGAUUGAUGAUUAGAACUUAAAUCAUGUGUACAGAAAGCAGAAUUUCGGGUCGGGGAUUUAGCUCAGUGGCAAAUCAUCUGCCUUGCAAGCACAAGGUCCUGAGUUAGAUCCCUGGUUCCACAAAAAGAAGCAAGCAAGCAAGCAAGCAAGCAGAUUUUCCAAGCUAACUCUGGGCAGUUGCCAUUACACUGUGUAUGUUCAUGGCUCUAGUAUCAUAUGCACUAAAAUGUGUCUGUCUCUGCCCGGGCAGCAAUCUGCAGGAUUUGUUAAGAGGUUUAGUGUUGGAUGGCCUGCUGCACUUGAGUCUGUUUGAAGAUGGGCUGGUAUUUGCGUGUUUGAUUUUUUUAGACCCCAUUGUCCUUGCCCUUUAGUGUCGACAGGGUCAUUCCUUGAACAUGGCUGUAGAAUAUACUGGCCUUUUUCUGUGUUCUGUGUAAUAUGUUCUAUCAAAAGUAUUGGUUUGGAGGUUUCCAGAUUUUUUUUCUUUCCAAGGAGUUUCUUAAAAAGGUGUCUGCUUUUUGUUUUUGU
Molecule: long non-coding RNA, 1849 nt
Organism: Fukomys damarensis (Damara mole-rat)
Lineage: Eukaryota; Metazoa; Chordata; Mammalia; Rodentia; Bathyergidae
Exons: 3
Source: RefSeq, a predicted model, not a curated record